CCCAACUAGUACAGUAUAUAGUAUACUACUUUAGACCAGGGCCCAACUAGUACAGUAUAUAGUAUACUACUUUAGACCAGGGCCCGGCUAGUGCAGCAUACUGUACAGGGAUGCCAUUUCAGACAGACGGCGAUAUGAGUUGACACGUCUUGGGUUGUGUUCGUUGCCAGUCAGUCAACCCAUGAGCCAAUCAGUUCAGUCCGGCGCCGUGAGUCUUCCUAACUGUGCUGAGGCAGGGAUGUAGAGACCAAUUUGUUUAGAUAUCCAAAAGACUUAGCUGACUAGUAUAGCAACAACGCAACAGUCUAUACAGACCUUAAUGAGGAGACAGCAGUCUAUAUAGACCAUAAUGAGGAGAAAACAGUCUAUAUAGACCUUAAUGAGGAGACAACAGUCUAUAUAGACCAUAAUGAGGAGACAGCAGUCUAUAUAGGCCCUAAUGAGGAGACAACAGUCUAUAUAGACCUUAAUGAGGAGACAACAGUCUAUAUAUACCCUAGUGAGGAGAAAACAGUCUAUAUAUAUCCUAAUGAGGAGACAACAGUCUAUAUAGACCCUAGUGAGGAGACAACAGUCUAUAUAGACCCUAGUGAGGAAACAACAGUCGUUAUAGACCCUAAUGAGGGGACAACAGUCUAUAUUGACCCUAAUGAGGGGACAACAGUCUAUAUAGACCCUAGUGAGGAGACAACAGUCUAUAUAGACCCUAGUGAGGAGACAACAGUCUAUAUAGACCCUAGUGAGGAGACAACAGUCUAUAUAGACCCUAGUGAGGAGACAACAGUCUAUAUAGACCCUAGUGAGGAGACAACAGUCUAUAUAGACCCUAGUGAGGAAACAACAGUCGUUAUAGACCCUAAUGAGGAAACAACAGUCUAUAUAGACCCUAAUGAGGGGACAACAGUCUAUAUAGACCCUAGUGAGGAGACAACAGUCUAUAUAGACCCUAAUGAGGAGACAACAGUCUAUAUAGACCCUAAUGAGGGGACAACAGUCUAUAUAGACCCUAUAUAUAAUCUUUGUGUUUAAUAUGUCUAUUUUAUUUCGAUCCCUAUUCCAUAUGUAGUGCACUGCUUUUGACCAGAGCCUUUGCCUUUAAAGUAGUGCACUAUGUAGGGAAUAGUGUCCCAUUAGGGACAAACAGGGCUGACGGUAGAGCUGGUUAACAGAAUUACUGGCUAACAGAAUUACUCAUCAUUUACUGUCAUUUAGCUCACGUUGUUUUAGUGUGCAGCUUAAUCAUGACUUCAGAAAGCAGAAAAAUAACCAUUAGAAACUAGCAGAUGACUUUGACAAAGCUCUUUCAGUCUCUUGUUCUGGCCCUUUAAUGAUGUCAUAAAUUGUCAAUUCAAAAACACUCCGGUUUCAACAGGGAGACUGUUUUCUAAUUGACUGGUUAGGGGGGUUGUUUACAAGGUUUCCACUGAACUUGUGACUUGAUUUUAUUAGAAACACAGAGAGGGUUCUACAAGUACACAGAGAGGGUUCUACAAGUCCACAGAGAGGGUUCUACAAGUACACAGAGAGGGUUCUACAAGUACACAGAGAGGGUUCUACAAGUCCACAGAGAGGGUUCUACAUGUACACAGAGAGGGUUCUACAAGUCCACAGAGAGGGUUCUACAUGUACACAGAGAGGGUUCUACAUGUACACAGAGAGGGUUCUACAUGUACACAGAGAGGGUUCUACAAGUACACAGAGAGGGUUCUACAAGUACACAGAGAGGGAUCUACAAGUCCACAGAGAGGGUUCUACAAGUCCACAGAGAGGGUUCUACAAGUCCACAGAGAGGGGUCUACAAGUCCACAGAGAGGGGUUUACAAGUACACAGAGAGGGUUCUACAAGUCCACAGAGAGGGAUCUACAAGUCCACAGAGAGAGGUCUACAAGUCUACAGAGAGGGGUCUACAAGUACCACAGAGUAGGUUCUACAAGUCCACAGAGAGGGUUCUACAAGUCCACAGAGAGGGUUCUACAAGUACCACAGAGUAGGUUCUACAAGUCCACAGAGAGGGUUCUACAAGUCCACAGAGAGGGUUCUACAAGUACCACAGAGUAGGUUCUACAAGUCCACAGAGAGGGUAAUACAAGUCCACAGAGAGGGUUCUACAAGUCCACAGAUAGGAUCUACAAGUCCACAGAAAGGGUUGUAUAAGUUCUUCCCCCUCUCUAGCGGAAAUUCCCCUACAAAUAUUGAUCCGUCAUAAACUGGACUUACACUGAGUGUACCAAACAUUAGGACACUCAGUCUAUGUCAAGGAAAGAGCAUGUGUUCUUAAUGUUUUGUAUACUCAGUGUACGUGCCCUUUGUAGACAUAAACACCUGCCCUGAAAAUGUCAAUACAUGGCCCUGGCAAUUCUCCUGAAGUGUCCUACUAUGCUAUAGAAGUUCCAUGGAACUUUCCUGCCUCACCUGAGAGUAGAGGAGGUGAGAGACCGCCCUUUCUGGGAAAAUAACAACAUUUUGUCUCCUCCCCCAAAGCUUUAAAUAGGAGCACACACACUCUUCUCUCUCAAACACAAAGUUUUGUCGUAGGAUAGUUUGUUGCUGGGCUGAAAAUCUUCCUGAACCUGUUCCUGACCUACGCUCCUAAGCACAGAUCUAGGAUCAGCUCAUCCUCAUCAAAUCCAAACCAGGACCUUAUUAAACCACGAGGGGAACACUGACCUCAGACCAGCGUUUAAACCCCACGUCUUCCUGCCAAGACACUGACACUCCGUCCAGAAGUCCUCUGCGCUCCAGCUGUCCAUCCAUCCGUCCGUCCAUCCAUCCAUCCAUCCGUCCGUCCAUCCAUCCAUCCAUCCAUCCAUCCAUCCAUCCAUCCAUCCAUCCAUCCAUCCACACCCCAGCCAGCCAGCCAGCCAUGGGUCUGAUGAGCGAGGACAUGGAGUGCUGUGUCUGCCUCCAGCCCUACUCUCGCAGGGAGAAGAUCCCUCGGAUGCUCCACUGUAAGCACACAUUCUGUGGGCUGUGCUUGCAGGCGAUGUCCAGGCUCCAAAGCGGCCUACUGACAGUCUGCUGCCCCCUGUGCCGUUGGAUCACCUGCACCGAGCCCAGCCUCACCCUGUCGGGGUCGCUGUGGGUUAACACUGAGAUAUGGGACCAGAUACUAGACAGACAACAGGAAGAGGAGGAGGAGGAAGAGGAGGAAGCUAAAAGACAGACACGGACCACUACACAGUACACAUGGUCUCCAUCAAUGCAUUGUGGCCUGAUGCUUAAACUACAGGAUUUCCUGAGGAGGAUGAAGCACAAUGUACUGUAAACCGAGAAGACGAAGAGCAGAGAAAAAGAAGACUGGAUUUUCCCAUUUCAGAGCAGGAGAUACUCAUUGAGUAAUGAAGCUAAUUCAUAAAACAGGACCGACCGGUGACUUUACAUAAUGAAGCAAGAUUGAACCAAUUAUUCAUAUGCUUUGUGUUUGAUUGACUUUGGGAAUGUGUAAUGUUCUCAGUCAACUUACCUGGUAAAAUAAGGGUUAAAUUAUAAUAUUAAUAAUAAAGGAUGGAUAGGUGGAGGAAAUAAAACAUAAGAUAUUAAAUGGAUUGAGGAAGAAAGAAAGAUAAAGGAAGUUAUGAAUAGAUGGACAGACAUAGAUAGAUAGAUAGAUAGAUAGAUAGAUAGUUAGAUAGAUAGAUAGAGGGGUGAAGGUUAGAGACUGUGUAUUGUACAAUGUGUUCUGUGUACAAUACAAUAUACUGUGAACAAUGUUUAUAAUAGAUGUUUAAUGAUUUGAUAAAAGGUGUAUUACUGUGUGAAGGGAAGUGGAGGUUUAGUAUUUAUUAUGACAUCAUUUUAGAACAGCUUUAAUAUUGCAUAUUGUUUCUUUAAUCAAUGUAAUUGUCUGCAUCAUUUCCAGUCCCCCAAAUCAGGGAUGUUGGAUUUGUUUAUCCUCAUUGGACAUGUUUAAUUCAUCUGUUCUGUUUGAAGAGCAGGUUUUUUUAUCCUGGAAUUAUAUUUAUUGGUUAAUAAAUACAUCCAAUUUAAAAUAACCCUGUCUUAGAGUUGUGAAAUAGCUUAUUAUUAUCAUUACAUUAGGAAAGUAACUGUCUGAUAUCCAACUAUUUAUGGACCCCAGAUAGAGUUGGGGGUGUUAAUACACUACACAUUCUACACUACUAUUUCCUAAAACACAAAACAAACCCUAAACAUUCCACUGUCCUUGGUUUUGAUGUGUGCAGGACAUGACUGAAAUCACUCUCUGUCUAAUCAUGUCUCAGAGAACCCUGUAUGCAUUCUUGCAUAUGAGAUUCCAUAAAAACACAUCACUUUGUUAAAGAUACGACCAAAAUUAACAUUUU
Molecule: non-coding RNA, 4302 nt
Organism: Oncorhynchus mykiss (rainbow trout)
Lineage: Eukaryota; Metazoa; Chordata; Actinopteri; Salmoniformes; Salmonidae
Source: RefSeq, a predicted model, not a curated record